CUGGCAUAAGCUGGAAACUUAUUGUAACAGAAUAUGGCUGAUACUCAUCUUCAGUGGGGAAUCACUGCUGUACUGCUAACGCUGGCUCACGGCUGUGCUUGAGUUUCUCCGCAGAGAGAAGGAACACUUCUUAAGAAUCCCACCAAAGUGGAUCUAGUACUUACACCGGAGAGACUAAAAACAAAACAGCCCUAGAUACUCUUCCUGGACCCAUUAACACCUGCAC
Long non-coding RNA from Meriones unguiculatus (Mongolian gerbil), 226 nucleotides. RefSeq lists it as uncharacterized. Lineage: Eukaryota; Metazoa; Chordata; Mammalia; Rodentia; Muridae. The record is from RefSeq and is a predicted model, not a curated record. The transcript has 3 exons.